CGGGAAGAGCUCAAAUUUAAAAUCUGGCGUGCCUCUGGCCGUCCGAGUUGUAGUCUGGAGAAGCGUUUUCCGUGUCGGACCGUGUACAAGUCCCUUGGAACAGGGCGUCAUAGAGGGUGAGAAUCCCGUCUUUGACACGGACUGCCGAUGCUCUGCGAUGCGCUCUCAAA
Molecule: ribosomal RNA, 170 nt
Filed under: Tomentella sp.
Lineage: Eukaryota; Fungi; Basidiomycota; Agaricomycetes; Thelephorales; Thelephoraceae
Description: partial large subunit ribosomal RNA
Rfam family: Eukaryotic large subunit ribosomal RNA
Source: RNAcentral